This 511-nucleotide ribosomal RNA is filed under the name Bacteroidales bacterium. Its description in RNAcentral is "partial 23S ribosomal RNA". It matches the Rfam family "Bacterial large subunit ribosomal RNA", at positions 1 to 528 of the family's 2925-position model. Lineage: Bacteria; Pseudomonadati; Bacteroidota; Bacteroidia; Bacteroidales. The record is from RNAcentral.
AAUCAAGCGCGAGAAGGGCGUUUGGUGAAUGCCUUGGCAGUAAGAGGCGAUGAAGGACGUGAUACCCUGCGAUAAGCCAUGAGGAGCCGGGAAUAGGCUGUGAUCCAUGGAUUUCCGAAUGGGGCAACCCACCUGAUACUCAGUUAUUGAUAGCCGCAAGGUUAUGGAUAAUUGGGUAAGACAGGGACUUGUUGACUGAAUACAUAGGUCUUCAAGAGCAAACCCGGGGAACUGAAACAUCUAAGUACCCGGAGGAAAGGACAGCAAUAGCGACUCCCCUAGUAGCGGCGAGCGAACGGGGAUCAGCCGAGCCUGAUAAGUGACCAGAAUGCGUUGGGAAGCGCAGCCAGAGCGGGUGACAGCCCCGUAUGGGAAGCUUUGAAGGACGUAUCAAGUAGGGCGGGACACGUGAAAUCCUGUCUGAAGAUCGGAGGACCACCUUCGAAGGCUAAGUACUCCUUACUGACCGAUAGCGAACCAGUACCGUGAGGGAAAGGUGAAAAGCACCCCG